This 492-nucleotide ribosomal RNA is filed under the name uncultured bacterium. Its description in RNAcentral is "partial 16S ribosomal RNA". It matches the Rfam family "Bacterial small subunit ribosomal RNA", at positions 29 to 507 of the family's 1533-position model. The record is from RNAcentral.
AGUGAACGCUGGCGGUAGGCCUAACAUAUGCAAGUCGAACGGCAGCACAGUAAGAGCUUGCUCUUACGGGUGGCGAGUGGCGGACGAGUGAGGAAUACAUCGGAAUCUACUUUUUCGUGGGGGAUAACGUAGGGAAACUUACGCUAAUACCGCAUACGACCUACGGGUGAAAGCAGGGGAUCUUCGGACCUUGCGCGAUUGAAUGAGCCGAUGUCGGAUUAGCUAGUUGGCGGGGUAAAGGCCCACCAAGGCGACGAUCCGUAGCUGGUCUGAGAGGAUGAUCAGCCACACUGGAACUGAGACACGGUCCAGACUCCUACGGGAGGCAGCAGUGGGGAAUAUUGGACAAUGGGCGCAAGCCUGAUCCAGCCAUACCGCGUGGGUGAAGAAGGCCUUCGGGUUGUAAAGCCCUUUUGUUGGGAAAGAAAAGCAGCAGGUUAAUACCCCGCUGUUCUGACGGUACCCAAAGAAUAAGCACCGGCUAACUUCGUG